Pangasianodon gigas (Mekong giant catfish) is the source of this 75-nucleotide non-coding RNA. The record is from the annotation of a GenBank genome assembly. Lineage: Eukaryota; Metazoa; Chordata; Actinopteri; Siluriformes; Pangasiidae.
GAAAUUAGCACCAAUAGCCUUGCGUAAAUAUAUCUAGAGAUUAUUUGCUUUCAACAUCUUAUUAAAAUGAUAUUU